UUAGGACACAGGGAACUCCAAGCAGCGGCGGGCGCUCGAGUGUUGUACAGAUCAAGACUACUGUAACCGAGACCUGCACCCAACACUGCCUCCGUUACGCACACCUAGUUAUGUGGUUGGAGACAUUCAUCAUAUCGCUCUGCUCAUCUCAGUGAGCGUCUGUAGCUUCAUCCUCACCUUCAUCAUCAUCUUCUGUUACUUCAGAUAUAAGCGUCAUGAAUUAGCACCGCGCUACAGUCUCGGUCUACAUCCAGACGAAAGCUUCAUUCCUGCUGGAGAAUCUCUGCGGGAUCUCAUAGAGCAAUCCCAGAGCUCCGGUUCUGGCUCAGGACUCCCUCUACUGGUGAACAACACACACUACACACACUGAAAAC
Molecule: non-coding RNA, 374 nt
Organism: Danio rerio (zebrafish)
Lineage: Eukaryota; Metazoa; Chordata; Actinopteri; Cypriniformes; Danionidae
Source: RefSeq, a predicted model, not a curated record